Molecule: ribosomal RNA, 463 nt
Filed under: Streptococcus gordonii
Lineage: Bacteria; Bacillati; Bacillota; Bacilli; Lactobacillales; Streptococcaceae
Description: bacterial SSU rRNA
Rfam family: Bacterial small subunit ribosomal RNA
Source: RNAcentral
GACGAACGCUGGCGGCGUGCCUAAUACAUGCAAGUAGAACGCACAGUUUAUACCGUAGCUUGCUACACCAUAGACUGUGAGUUGCGAACGGGUGAGUAACGCGUAGGUAACCUGCCUGGUAGCGGGGGAUAACUAUUGGAAACGAUAGCUAAUACCGCAUAAUAUUAAUUAUUGCAUGAUAAUUGAUUGAAAGAUGCAACUGCAUCACUACCAGAUGGACCUGCGUUGUAUUAGCUAGUAGGUGAGGUAACGGCUCACCUAGGCGACGAUACAUAGCCGACCUGAGAGGGUGAUCGGCCACACUGGGACUGAGACACGGCCCAGACUCCUACGGGAGGCAGCAGUAGGGAAUCUUCGGCAAUGGACGAAAGUCUGACCGAGCAACGCCGCGUGAGUGAAGAAGGUUUUCGGAUCGUAAAGCUCUGUUGUAAGAGAAGAACGGGUGUGAGAGGGAAAGUUCACA